UUUCAAGAAAGGCAUGUUAAGUACGCGACAUCCUGUCGCAACACAUGCACUGGUACUUCUGUGCG
Molecule: small RNA, 65 nt
Filed under: Bacilli bacterium VT-13-104
Lineage: Bacteria; Bacillati; Bacillota; Bacilli
Description: Bacillaceae-1 RNA
Rfam family: Bacillaceae-1 RNA
Source: Rfam by way of RNAcentral